CUUUGUUGCUCAGGCUGAUCUCGAGCUCCUGGCCUCAAGUGAUCCUCCCGCUUUUGGCCUCCCAAACUGAUGGGAUUACAACGUGGAGCCACCGUGUUAAACUCUUAGAUUUGACUGCUACAAAGGUAUAAAUGUGGAACUCCAUAUAUCAGUGGGUUCUGCCCCACUUCUUCCUCCCAGGAAUUCUCCAUCCCAGCCUGCUGCUCCUGUCUUGCACCGGGGAACAAACAUGUAUCCUGGAUGAAAAUAAACCAAGUCUAUUGAAACUGCAACCCAAGACAUUCAGAAGAGACAAGGCUACAGUGAAUCUGGAAACUUUGCACGUGUUUGGAUGUAUUGAUUGCCUUAACUGGCAGCCCUUUGCACUGCCAGCUUCCCUCAAUUACAUGAGGAACCACGAGGGGGCAAUGUCUUCCCGAGCAAUAAUAGCUGAGUGGUGGUCUUAGGACCCCGUGGUGGCCCAUGAUGCUAGCACCGUGUCUUUGGCCAUUCUUGCCUGUCAUGGAGCAUACUCCACAGAAGGGCAUGGUCUUCUUGGAGCCUGGCAUGGGCCCAACAAAAAUGACAAUGUAGUCAAUAGUUCCACUCAGACCUCACUUAGGAGCAGGUGGACUAUGUUGUGUGAUAUCAGGAUGCCCGGAGAACCUCUCCUAUCCCC
RNAcentral lists this long non-coding RNA (658 nucleotides) under Pan troglodytes (chimpanzee). RNAcentral's name for it is "long non-coding RNA NONPTRT017022". Lineage: Eukaryota; Metazoa; Chordata; Mammalia; Primates; Hominidae. The record is from RNAcentral.